GGUUAAGUGAAUAAGGGCGCACGGUGGAUGCCUUGGUACUAGGAGCCGAAGAAGGACGGAACUAACACCGAUAUGCUUUGGGGAGCUGUAAGUAAGCUAAGAUCCAAAGAUUUCCGAAUGGGGGAACCCAACACCUUUCAUAGGGUGUUACCAAUGAGUGAAUACAUAGCUCAUUAGGAGGUACACGCAGGGAACUGAAACAUCUCAUUACCUGCAGGAAGAGAAAGAAAAAUCGAUUCCCUGAGUAGCGGCGAGCGAAACGGGAGGAGCCCAAACCAACGAGCUUGCUUGUUGGGGUUGUAGGACUAGAACGUGAGAAGAAAUCAAGAUAGCAGAAGUGGUCUGGAAAGGCCCAUCAAAGAAGGUGACAAUCCUGUACGCGACAUCUUGAUGAACUCUACUAGCAUCCUGAGUACGGCGGGACACGAGGAAUCCCGUCGGAAUCCGCCAGGACCAUCUGGCAAGGCUAAAUACUACCUAGUGACCGAUAGUGAACCAGUACCGUGAGGGAAAGGUGAAAAGAACCCCGGGAGGGGAGUGAAAGAGUACCUGAAACCGUGUGCUUACAAGUAGUCAGAGCCCGUUAAUGGGUGAUGGCGUGCCUUUUGUAGAAUGAACCGGCGAGUUACGUUUACAUGCGAGGUUAAGAUGAAGAGUCGGAGCCGUAGCGAAAGCGAGUCUGAAUAGGGCGCAUGUAGUAUGUGGACGUAGACCCGAAACCAAGUGAUCUACCCAUGUCCAGGUUGAAGGUGCGGUAAAACGCACUGGAGGACCGAACCAGGGCACGUUGAAAAGUGCUUGGAUGAGGUGUGGGUAGCGGAGAAAUUCCAAUCGAACUUGGAGAUAGCUGGUUCUCUCCGAAAUAGCUUUAGGGCUAGCCUCGGAAUCAAGAAUCGUGGAGGUAGAGCACUGUUUGGACUAGGGGCCCAUCUCGGGUUACCGAAUUCAGAUAAACUCCGAAUGCCAUGUAUUUAUAUCCGGGAGUCAGACUGCGAGUGAUAAGAUCCGUAGUCGAAAGGGAAACAGCCCAGACCACCAGCUAAGGUCCCAAAAUAUCUGUUAAGUGGAAAAGGAUGUGGGGUUGCACAGACAACUAGGAUGUUGGCUUAGAAGCAGCCAUCAUUCAAAGAGUGCGUAAUAGCUCACUAGUCGAGUGACCCUGCGCCGAAAAUGUAACGGGGCUAAACAGAUUACCGAAGCUGUGGAUUGGACCAUUAGGUCCAGUGGUAGGAGAGCGUUCUAAGGGCGGUGAAGCAUGACCGUAAGGACAUGUGGAGCGCUUAGAAGUGAGAAUGCCGGUAUGAGUAGCGAAAGACGGGUGAGAAUCCCGUCCACCGAAUAACUAAGGUUUCCUGGGGAAGGCUCGUCCUCCCAGGGUUAGUCGGGACCUAAGGCGAGGCCGAUAGGCGUAGUCGAUGGACAACAGGUUGAUAUUCCUGUACUUCUAUAAAUCGUUUGAGCAAUGGAGGGACGCAGGAGGCUAAGAAAAGCGUACGACUGGAAGUGUACGCCCAAGCAGUGAGUCGGCUGAUGAGUCAAAUGCUUAUCACGGAUGCGACAAGCUGUGACGGGGAGGGAAGUUUAGUACCGAAGUUUCUGAUGUCACACUGCCGAGAAAAGCUUCUAGCAAGAUUUAUAGGACCCGUACCGCAAACCGACACAGGUAGUUGAGGAGAGAAUCCUAAGGUGAGCGAGCGAACUCUCGUUAAGGAACUCGGCAAAAUGACCCCGUAACUUCGGGAGAAGGGGUGCUGGUAGCAAUACCAGCCGCAGUGAAUAGGCCCAGGCGACUGUUUAUCAAAAACACAGGUCUCUGCAAAAUCGAAAGAUGACGUAUAGGGGCUGACGCCUGCCCGGUGCUGGAAGGUUAAGAGGAGAGGUUAGCGCAAGCGAAGCUUUGAAUUGAAGCCCCAGUAAACGGCGGCCGUAACUAUAACGGUCCUAAGGUAGCGAAAUUCCUUGUCGGGUAAGUUCC
This 1975-nucleotide ribosomal RNA is filed under the name Streptococcus pneumoniae. Its description in RNAcentral is "partial 23S ribosomal RNA". It matches the Rfam family "Bacterial large subunit ribosomal RNA", at positions 1 to 1984 of the family's 2925-position model. Lineage: Bacteria; Bacillati; Bacillota; Bacilli; Lactobacillales; Streptococcaceae. The record is from RNAcentral.